CCCCCUUUUUUACAAAAUACUCAAUAACUCAACAAGAGUGCACACGCUGAAAUGUCUCGCCUUCUAUACUAAUCAUUGAUAUUAUGUUGAUAGUCCUAAGUAUAAAGCUAAGCUUUAUUACAACUGUCACAUAAACUUAACAUUAACCAAGAUAACUAAACAAAGACCAAUGAACCUUGAAAAAGAGGUCCAGGUCAGAUGAACC
Molecule: long non-coding RNA, 205 nt
Filed under: Mytilus galloprovincialis (Mediterranean mussel)
Lineage: Eukaryota; Metazoa; Mollusca; Bivalvia; Mytilida; Mytilidae
Source: RNAcentral